CUUAAACUGGGACUGAAAACUGGGCCUCAAGCAUCACUUGCCCUUUAGAACAAGUUAAUAGUCGUGUGGUAGUUUUUGGAUGGAAAAAUGAUAACAGCUUCUGCAGAAUGCGAAUGGAGACAGGAUGGAGAGCAUUAGGACAUUCAGCCAGGUGCCCUCGUGGCCCGGCCAGAAUACUGUGAUAUUAAUAUUUUAUGACUUAUCUGCGGUUAAUUCAAAUCCAGUAAUAAACACUUUGAGCACGUGCGCUUGAUUUGCGACGAAAAACACUCUUGGAGCUGUGUUUGCAGGCGGUAAACAUGUAUAAUUGAAGUCGCAUUUAAAAAGUUUUCUUAGGCAAGAGAGAAGGUAUUUGAAAAGUCUGGAAGAAGUUGGCAAGAAUACGGUUACAUUUGCAGUUGUUGUUGGUGUUGAUGUUGCAUUCACCGUGAAAAUAGGUGUAAAUGUGCGCACAAGUGCAUCCAAUUUUCUCAUAAAAGAGCGAAAAAAGAAAAUCUUAAUCAGAAUAUUAAGGCGAAUGUAAUUACCUGGCCCGGGACACAACCUAACCUUCAUCACUUAUGUGACCGUUCAUUGUAAAGAGAAAAAAAAAAGAUCUAGGAAUUUAAAGAAGUCUUUAAGUCUGUAAGAGAAUACAAGUUAAAACCUCUUGCUUGAAAAAUUUCAAAA
This is a long non-coding RNA of Stylophora pistillata, 669 nucleotides long. The record is from RefSeq and is a predicted model, not a curated record. NCBI's taxonomy places the organism in Eukaryota, Metazoa, Cnidaria, Anthozoa, Scleractinia, Pocilloporidae.